CUACGGGGCGCAGCAGUGAGGAAUAUUGCACAAUGGGGGGAACCCUGAUGCAGCAACGCCGCGUGGAGGAUGACGCAUUUCGGUGUGUAAACUCCUUUUAUAUGUCAAGAAAAUGACGGUAGCAUAUGAAUAAGCACCGGCUAACUCCGUGCCAGCAGCCGCGGUAAUACGGAGGGUGCAAGCGUUACUCGGAAUCACUGGGCGUAAAGGACGCGUAGGCGGGUUGGAAAGUCAGGUGUGAAAUCCUACAGCUUAACUGUAGAACUGCACUUGAAACUUCUAAUCUAGAGUCUGGGAGGGGGAGAUGGAAUUAGUGGUGUAGGGGUAAAAUCCGUAGAGAUCACUAGGAAUACCUAAAGCGAAGGCGAUCUCCUGGAACAUUACUGACGCUGAGGCGUGAAAGCGUGGGGAGCAAACAGGAUUAGAUACCCCUGUAGUC
RNAcentral lists this ribosomal RNA (439 nucleotides) under uncultured bacterium. RNAcentral describes it as "partial 16S ribosomal RNA". It matches the Rfam family "Bacterial small subunit ribosomal RNA", at positions 339 to 795 of the family's 1533-position model. The record is from RNAcentral.